GUAUAGCUCUGUGGUAGAGUGCUUGCCUAGCAUGCAUGAGGCCCUGGGUUCAAUCCCCAGCACA
This 64-nucleotide transfer RNA is filed under the name Marmota monax (woodchuck). Its description in RNAcentral is "tRNA.Ala". The stretch from base 4 to 60 matches the Rfam family "tRNA", at positions 8 to 63 of the family's 71-position model. Rfam says of the family: Transfer RNA (tRNA) molecules are approximately 80 nucleotides in length. Their secondary structure includes four short double-helical elements and three loops (D, anti-codon, and T loops). Further hydrogen bonds mediate the characteristic L-shaped molecular structure. tRNAs have two regions of fundamental functional importance: the anti-codon, which is responsible for specific mRNA codon recognition, and the 3' end, to which the tRNAs corresponding amino acid is attached (by aminoacyl-tRNA synthetases). tRNAs cope with the degeneracy of the genetic code in two manners: having more than one tRNA (with a specific anti-codon) for a particular amino acid; and 'wobble' base-pairing, i.e. permitting non-standard base-pairing at the 3rd anti-codon position. Lineage: Eukaryota; Metazoa; Chordata; Mammalia; Rodentia; Sciuridae. The record is from RNAcentral.